AAAUCAAUGUAUAAGAGGUCUUACCUGCCCAGUGACAUUAAGUUUAACGGCCGCGGUAUUUUGACCGUGCUAAGGUAGCGCAAUCACUUGUCUUUUAAAUGAAGACCUGUAUGAAUGGUGGAACGAGGGCUUAACUGUCUCCCUUUUUAGGUCAAUGAAAUUGAUCUGCCCGUGCAGAAGCGGACAUAAAAAUACAAGACGAGAAGACCCUUUGGAGCUUAAGACACAAAGUCAAGCAUGUCAAAAAUUACUGUUACGAAAAACAAAACAAAAUAUCAACUGACCAAAGUCUUCGGUUGGGGCGACCGCGGGGGAAAAUGAAGCCCCCAUGAGGAAUGGGUUAAAACCUAAAACCACGAGGAACACCUCUAAGUCACAGAAUAUCUGACCAAAAGAUCCGGCACUUAGCCGAUUAACGAACCAAGUUACCCUAGGGAUAACAGCGCAAUCCCCUCCAAGAGUCCAUAUCGACAAGGGGGUUUACGACCUCGAUGUUGGAUCAGGACAUCCUAAUGGUGCAGCCGCUAUUAAGGGUUCGUUUGUUCAACGAUUAAAGU
RNAcentral lists this ribosomal RNA (557 nucleotides) under Creagrutus beni. RNAcentral describes it as "partial 16S ribosomal RNA". It matches the Rfam family "Bacterial large subunit ribosomal RNA", at positions 1835 to 2594 of the family's 2925-position model. The record is from RNAcentral. Lineage: Eukaryota; Metazoa; Chordata; Actinopteri; Characiformes; Stevardiidae.